This 215-nucleotide ribosomal RNA is filed under the name uncultured bacterium. Its description in RNAcentral is "partial 16S ribosomal RNA". It matches the Rfam family "Bacterial small subunit ribosomal RNA", at positions 118 to 351 of the family's 1533-position model. The record is from RNAcentral.
UGGGAACGUGCCCAAAGGUACGGAACAACUCCGGGAAACUGGAGCUAAUACCGUAUGUGCCCGAAAGGGGAAAGAUUCAUCGCCUUUGGAUCGGCCCGCAUCUGAUUAGCUAGUUGGCGGGUAAUGGCCCACCAAGGCGACGAUCAGUAGCUGGCCUGAGAGGAUGACCAGCCACACUGGGACUGAGACACGGCCCAGACUCCUACGGGAGGCAG